UACGUAGGGUGCAAGCGUUGUCCGGAAUUAUUGGGCGUAAAGAGCUCGUAGGCGGUCUGUCGCGUCGGCUGUGAAAACUCGGGGCUCAACCCCGAGCCUGCAGUCGAUACGGGCAGACUAGAGUGCUGUAGGGGAGACUGGAAUUCCCGGUGUAGCGGUGAAAUGCGCAGAUAUCGGGAGGAACACCCGUAGCGAAGGCGGCACUCGUGGGCCGGAACUGGACGCUGAGGAGCGAAAGCGUGGGGAGCAAACAGGGAU
RNAcentral lists this ribosomal RNA (258 nucleotides) under uncultured bacterium. Its description in RNAcentral is "partial 16S ribosomal RNA". It matches the Rfam family "Bacterial small subunit ribosomal RNA", at positions 524 to 779 of the family's 1533-position model. The record is from RNAcentral.